Rattus norvegicus (Norway rat) is the source of this 630-nucleotide non-coding RNA. The record is from RefSeq and is a predicted model, not a curated record. NCBI's taxonomy places the organism in Eukaryota, Metazoa, Chordata, Mammalia, Rodentia, Muridae.
GUGAUAAUGACUGGGAUCAGACUCUGCUGACUGCCGAUGCUGGGUGCUGAGCCCACGGCCUCUGUCCUCAAUCCUCAGUCCCAGGUUCCUAAGUCUGGCAGACUUCACAGAAGGACAUGUGCCCACCAAUUUAAACACUCCAGGAGAGAUGGAAAGCCCACUUGUGCUAUGCAAGCACACGCCCAUAGCAAGCACCCCUCAGAUUGUCCCUUCAUCUCCUCUUGGUCAGGGGUGGCUGGAAAUGUGAGCUCCUUUGUCCUGUCCCUGGAAGAGGACAUUUUCCUUCCCCUGGAUCCAGCAGUGCCGUGAGAGAAGGGGUCAGUGUUACAGACCAAGGUUAUCAUUCACCAACCUUCACACCUCCAGUGACUCAGGUAAAUCCUGAAACCUCAGUUUACUCAUCUCUAUGUGAAGCUACCUCAGUCCUACCCAGAAUACCUUGAGUGGAAACAGAAGGCCAUGUGAGCUGAAGCCCAGGACUGAAGUGGAAACCCAGGCUCCCUGAGCCCCUCCCCACUAGUCUCAUACCUAGUCCUCCACUUCCGCUAUCCCAAAUCCACCUGGUGGGGGCUGUAUUUAAAAUCAAGGGGAAAUUGCUUCUCAUUAAACUGAAGUUGGUUAGCUCUCUUA